CUUAUGAUGUUACUCUAUGAAUAAGAGGCUCCUAAUCAUGUGCCAGCAGGAGCGGUAAUACAUGAGCCUCGAGCGUUACCCGGAUUCACUGGGCGUAAAGGGUGUGUAGGCGGCAUAGUUAGUCGCGCGUUAAAGCCCAGGGCUCAACCCUGGAAUCGCGUGCGAAACGGCUAAGCUAGAGGGUGCGAGAGGUCUGUAGAACUCAUGGUGUAGGGGUGAAAUCCGUUGAUAUCGUGGGGAACACCAAAAGCGAAGGCAACUCACUGGCACACUCCUGACGCUGAUGUACGAAAGCGUGGGUAGCGAAUGGGAUUAGAUACCCCAGUAGUCCACGCCCUAAACGAUGUUCACUAGCUUUUCGGAGUAUCGACCCUCUGAGAGGCGCAGCUAACGCGUUAAGUGAACCGCCUGGGAAGUACGGCCGCAAGGCUAAAACUCAAAGGAAUAGACGGGGACUUGCACAAGCGGUGGAUCAUGUGGCUUAAUUCGACGAUAAACGAAGAACCUUACCAGGGCUUGAAACUCCAAUGAAAACUCCGUGAAAGCGGAGCCCUCCCACAAGGACAUUGGAGCAGGUGAUGCAUGGCCGUCGUCAGUUCGUGGUUUGAAUUGUUCCCUUAAGUGGGGUAACGAACGCAACCCCCAUCGUCUGUUAUACGUGUCAGACGAGACUGCCCAGCACCAUUUUCCGGAGUAAUAAGUAUGAAUAUGCAGCCGCAUAAAGCAUACUGAGUUAUUUUUGAAAGUGUUUCCGAUCUCUAGUUCGGGAAAAUGGUGCUGGGAGGAAGGAGGGGAUGACGCCAGGUCAGCAUGUCCUUUUGAUGUCCUGGGCUGCACACAUGAUACAAUGGCUGCUACAACGGGUUGCGACGGCGAAAGCCUGAGCUAAUCCUUCAAAGGCAGCCCUAGUUCGGAUUGAGGUCUGCAACUCGACCUCAUGAAGUUGGAAUCGCUAGUAAUCCCGGGUCAGCUAUACCGGGGUGAAUACGUUCUCAAGUCUUGUACUCACAAAUAACUGUGCCCGGCAGCUAUAUAUGCCAAAUGGUUAAAAUCCAUUCUUCCUUGUAGUGCAACCGCAUCACAAGGAGCGUAGCGAACAGACAGGACG
This 1108-nucleotide ribosomal RNA is filed under the name sediment metagenome. RNAcentral describes it as "bacterial SSU rRNA". It matches the Rfam family "Bacterial small subunit ribosomal RNA", at positions 466 to 1533 of the family's 1533-position model. The record is from RNAcentral.